Molecule: unclassified non-coding RNA, 237 nt
Filed under: Glomus sp.
Lineage: Eukaryota; Fungi; Glomeromycota; Glomeromycetes; Glomerales; Glomeraceae
Description: partial internal transcribed spacer 2
Source: RNAcentral
GUGAAUCAUCGAAUCUUUGAACGCAAAUAGCGCGUCCUGGCAGCCCGGGAAGGAUGCCUAUGUGGGGGUCAGUAUUAGUAAAAAUCGGUGUUGUUGCUGCGUUUCGUGGUGACGGGUCGGAAGUGAGUCUUCUUACCUUCGGUUAAGUGACUUAAAAUGUUGCAUUAUGUUCGAACGUAUUUAAAUUUCUUACGUACUUUUGAGAUUUCGAAUACUGUAUGAGGUUCGGUCAUCCUC